This 744-nucleotide ribosomal RNA is filed under the name uncultured Staphylococcus sp. Its description in RNAcentral is "bacterial SSU rRNA". It matches the Rfam family "Bacterial small subunit ribosomal RNA", at positions 28 to 751 of the family's 1533-position model. The record is from RNAcentral. Lineage: Bacteria; Bacillati; Bacillota; Bacilli; Caryophanales; Staphylococcaceae.
GAUGAACGCUGGCGGCGUGCCUAAUACAUGCAAGUCGAGCGAACGGACGAGAAGCUUGCUUCUCUGAUGUUAGCGGCGGACGGGUGAGUAACACGUGGAUAACCUACCUAUAAGACUGGGAUAACUUCGGGAAACCGGAGCUAAUACCGGAUAAUAUUUUGAACCGCAUGGUUCAAAAGUGAAAGACGGUCUUGCUGUCACUUAUAGAUGGAUCCGCGCUGCAUUAGCUAGUUGGUAAGGUAACGGCUUACCAAGGCAACGAUGCAUAGCCGACCUGAGAGGGUGAUCGGCCACACUGGAACUGAGACACGGUCCAGACUCCUACGGGAGGCAGCAGUAGGGAAUCUUCCGCAAUGGGCGAAAGCCUGACGGAGCAACGCCGCGUGAGUGAUGAAGGUCUUCGGAUCGUAAAACUCUGUUAUUAGGGAAGAACAUAUGUGUAAGUAACUGUGCACAUCUUGACGGUACCUAAUCAGAAAGCCACGGUAACUACGUGCCAGCAGCCGCGGUAAUACGUAGGUGGCAAGCGUUAUCCGGAAUUAUUGGGCGUAAAGCGCGCGUAGGCGGUUUUUAAGUCUGAUGUGAAAGCCCAGGUCAACCGUGGAGGGUCAUUGGAAACUGGAAAACUUGAGUGCCGAACGAGGACACAGUGGGAAUUCCAUGUGUAACGGUGAAAUGCGCAAGACUCUGGAGGAACACCCAGUGGCGAAGGCGACUUUCUGGUCUGUAACUGGACGGCUGAUG